GACGAACGCUGGCGGCGUGCUUAACACAUGCAAGUCGAGCGGUAAGGCCCUUUCGGGGGUACACGAGCGGCGAACGGGUGAGUAACACGUGGGUGACCUGCCCUCAGCUCUGGGAUAAGCCUGGGAAACUGGGUCUAAUACUGGAUAUGACUCCACGGUGCAUGUCGUGGGGUGGAAAGCCUUGUGCGGCUGAGGAUGGGCCCGCGGCCUAUCAGCUUGUUGGUGGGGUGAUGGCCUACCAAGGCGACGACGGGUAGCCGGCCUGAGAGGGCGACCGGCCACACUGGGACUGAGACACGGCCCAGACUCCCACGGGAGGCAGCAGUGGGGAAUCUUGCGCAAUGGGCGAAAGCCUGACGCAGCGACGCCGCGUGAGGGAUGACGGCCUGG
Molecule: ribosomal RNA, 390 nt
Filed under: uncultured bacterium
Lineage: Bacteria
Description: bacterial SSU rRNA
Rfam family: Bacterial small subunit ribosomal RNA
Source: RNAcentral